RNAcentral lists this ribosomal RNA (369 nucleotides) under uncultured bacterium. Its description in RNAcentral is "bacterial SSU rRNA". It matches the Rfam family "Bacterial small subunit ribosomal RNA", at positions 528 to 896 of the family's 1533-position model. The record is from RNAcentral.
GGGGGGGCAAGCGUUGUUCGGAAUUACUGGGCGUAAAGGGCGCGUAGGCGGUCCGCUAAGUUGGAUGUGAAAACUCUGGGCUUAACCCAGAGCCUGCAUUCAAACUGACGGGCUAGAGUUCUGGAGGGGGUAGCGGAAUUCCUGGUGUAGCGGUGAAAUGCGUAGAUAUCAGGAGGAACACCGGCGGCGAAGGCGGCUACCUGGACAGAAACUGACGCUGAGGCGCGAAAGCUAGGGGAGCAAACAGGAUUAGAUACCCUGGUAGUCCUAGCCCUAAACGAUGGAUACUCGGUGUGACGGGGAUUGAAUCCCGUCGUGCCGAAGCUAACGCAUUAAGUAUCCCGCCUGGGGAGUACGGUCGCAAGGCUG